UCCGAGUUGUCCCCGGCAGUCUCCCAUGAGUCCCCGCCAUUACGCGCUGGCAACAUGGGACAGGGGUUGCGCUCGUUGCGGGACUUAACCCAACAUUUCACAACACGAGCUGACGACAGCCAUGCAGCACCUGUCUUACGGUUCCCGAAGGCACCAAUCCAUUUCUGGAAAGUUCCGUAGAUGUCAAGACCAGGUAAGGUUCUUCGCGUUGCAUCGAAUUAAACCACAUGCUCCACCGCUUGUGCGGGCCCCCGUCAAUUCCUUUGAGUUUCAGCCUUGCGGCCGUACUCCCCAGGCGUGGUACUUAAUGCGUUAGCGACGGCACUCAGAGGGUCGCUCCCCCAAGCACCUAGUACCCAUCGUUUACGGCGUGGACUAC
Molecule: unclassified non-coding RNA, 379 nt
Filed under: uncultured bacterium
Lineage: Bacteria
Description: contains 16S-23S intergenic spacer region
Source: RNAcentral